CAUGCUGCCAGCGCUCUGCUCUCUCUUCACUGCUCUCUCAUGUGUCAGUGGUGUGAUUGUGGUGACGCAGAAGCCUCCUGUUCUCACACUGACUCAAGGACAGACGGCCACCAUGGACUGUAACCUGGGGACUGUUACUGAUCAAGGUGCACGCUGGUACAAACAGGUUCCUGGAGGAGUUCCUCAGCAUGUGAUAAGACAUUAUCAUGAAUGGAGUUCUCCUAAAUAUGGAUCUGGUUUCUCAUCACCUAAAUUCACAUCAACACACUCCUCUAAAUCAGAUUAUAAACUGAUUAUCAGUAAUGUGGAGGUGGGAGACUCAGCAGUGUAUUACUGUAAGACAUGGGACAGCUCUGCUAAAGAUGAUGCUGCCUGACAGAUCCCAUCUAUGGCCAUAAACUGACAAAGAAAAUCCAGAGAUGUUUGAAGAGACUUAGACAACACCAGGACUCCUGGCCACACUGGAAAAGCAAGAGCCAUUUGAACACUGUAUAGUUUUUGAAAUGAACUAUUUUAAAUUACAAAUCUACCAGCGAUGUGGAUAACCAAACAUACCCCUCACACACACGCUUUACCCUAAUGCCAUGUGGAAAAAGGUACCAAAACCUUCCUGCCACACAACGAAGCUACUUUCUACAAACCAUCAGAUUCUACAAUAAUAAACAUCUGGACUGACACGUCUGACAUCUGUAAGUCAUGCUUGACUACGCCCGGCUGCCACAUCACACAUGGAUGAAUAAUGAUCCCACUCAUGUUACUCAUUGUACUUGAGCAAUUCCUGGGGAGUCAGUACACCAGAGACAUGAUUGGACUGCCUGCUUCACGUCUGAAAAGUUGGCCUCCCGGGAACUCCUUUAACGGCCCAAACAUGGGAAAUGGCUUGGAAUAAGGUGCAAGGACUGUGACAAUAACUUCCAGCCGAGUUCCUGUAAUGUGCAAUGGUGAAUGAUUGUAUGUACAGUUCCCGCAGACAGAUCCAUCUCUUCUGCAAGUUGGUGACAAGUUAUCUGUAAAUGUGAAUCACUUCUACACAUUAGUAAAAUUUGGAGUAAGAUAUCUAUGUAAUACUGUAUAAUCAUUAUAUUCAUUAAAGCUUCACC
Clarias gariepinus (North African catfish) is the source of this 1100-nucleotide non-coding RNA. The record is from the annotation of a RefSeq genome assembly. NCBI's taxonomy places the organism in Eukaryota, Metazoa, Chordata, Actinopteri, Siluriformes, Clariidae.